Molecule: ribosomal RNA, 497 nt
Filed under: uncultured bacterium
Lineage: Bacteria
Description: partial 16S ribosomal RNA
Rfam family: Bacterial small subunit ribosomal RNA
Source: RNAcentral
GAUGAACGCUGGCGGCGUGCCUAAUACAUGCAAGUCGAGCGAACAGACGAGGAGCUUGCUCCUCUGACGUUAGCGGCGGACGGGUGAGUAACACGUGGAUAACCUACCUAUAAGACUGGGAUAACUUCGGGAAACCGGAGCUAAUACCGGAUAACAUGUUGAACCGCAUGGUUCAACAGUGAAAGACGGUCUUGCUGUCACUUAUAGAUGGAUCCGCGCCGCAUUAGCUAGUUGGUAAGGUAACGGCUUACCAAGGCAACGAUGCGUAGCCGACCUGAGAGGGUGAUCGGCCACACUGGAACUGAGACACGGUCCAGACUCCUACGGGAGGCAGCGGUAGGGAAUCUUCCGCAAUGGGCGAAAGCCUGACGGAGCAACGCCGCGUGAGUGAAGAAGGUCUUCGGAUCGUAAAACUCUGUUAUUAGGGAAGAACAAAUGUGUAAGUAACUAUGCACGUCUUGACGGUACCUAAUCAGAAAGCCACGGCUAACUACGUG